Molecule: long non-coding RNA, 1632 nt
Organism: Hippocampus zosterae (dwarf seahorse)
Lineage: Eukaryota; Metazoa; Chordata; Actinopteri; Syngnathiformes; Syngnathidae
Exons: 4
Source: RefSeq, a predicted model, not a curated record
ACACCCCAAAACGUCACAGUUACGUUGCAGGAAACGAGUUUCUACAGCUACCCUCCCCCACAUCACACUCGCUGACCAUCAAUUAGGAAACGCGCGCUUUGCUACCUGCACAAAAGGAAGGCGUUGAGAAGAGUGAGCGUACGAGUCAGCAUCAUCGAGAAAACCCCAGAAAGUGACAAAUACUUCAGAAUUAAAGCAGAUGGACAAUCCCACUGAAGAUGGUGAUUAUUCUGACUCAAGUCUUUUUGGAUCAGAUGAGGAAUACAAACCAACUAAGACAUCCUCUGAGUCGAGUGAUGACGAGGAGAUAUUCCAUCCAAAGGUAGAAAAAUUGUUCUUAUGAUACAUCCAGUGAAGACUCUACAAGUCAUCAGACAUAUGAAGCAGAGGAGCACAGUCAUGUCUGCAAUUCGUAAAGAAGCCCCAAAAAGGGAAAAGCAUCUCUCCAAACGAGGGAAGACUGAAUUGGAUGAUUCGAGUCCAGGCGGGGACCCUGGCGGUCCGAUCCUUGGCUGCAGAAGCUAGCUCUUGGGACAUGGAAUGUCACCUCUCUGGCAGGGAAGGAGCCCGAGCUGGUGUGUGAGGCAGAGAAUUUCCGACUGGAUAUAGUCGGACUUGCCUCCACACACAGCCUGGGUUCUGGUACCAGUUCUCUCGAGAGGGGUUGGACUCUCUUCCACUCUGGAGUUGCUCACGGUGAGAGGCGCAGAGCAGGUGUGGGCAUACUCAUUGCCCCCCGCCUCAGUGCCUGUACAUUGGGGUUCACACCGGUAGACGAGAGGGUUGCCUCCCUCCGCCUUCGGGUGGGUGGACGGGUCCUGACUGUUGUUUGUGCAAAUGCACCAAACAGCAGCUCAGCAUACCCACCCUUUUUGGAGUCCUUGGAGGGUGUGCUGGAGAGUACUCCUGCUGGGGACUCCAUUGUUCUGCUGGGGGACUUCAAUGCUCACGUGGGCAAUGACGGUGAUACCUGGAGGGGCGUGAUUGGGAGGAACGCCCCCCCCGAUCAAAACCCGAGUGGUGUUUUGUUAUUGGACUUCUGUGCUCGUCACGGAUUGUCCAUAACGAACACCUUGUUCAAACAUAAGGGUGUCCAUAUGUGCACUUGGCACCAGGACACCCUAGGCCGCAGUUCGAUGAUCGACUUUGUAGUUGUAUCAUCGGAUUUGCGGCCGCAUGUUCUGGACACUCGGGUGAAGAGAGGGGCGGAGCUGUCAACUGAUCACCACCUGGUGGUGAGUAGGCUCCAAUGGUGGGGGAAGAUGCCGGUCCGUCCUGGCAGACCCAAACGUAUAGUGAGGGUUUGUUGGGAGCGUCUGGCGGAAUCCCCUGUCAGAAGGAGUUUCAACUCCCACCUCCGACAGAGCUUUUCCCAUGUUCCGGGGGAGACGGGGGACAUUGAGUCCGAGUGGACCAUGUUCCGUGCCUCUAUUGUUGAGGCGGCCAAUCUGAGUUGUGGCCGUAAGGUGGUUGGUGCCUGUCGUGGCGGCAAUCCCCGUACUCGCUGGUGGACACCAGCAGUAAGGGAUGCCGUCAAGCUGAAGAAGGAGUCCUAUCGAGCCUUUAUGGCCUGUGGGACCCCAGAGGCAGCUGACGGGUAUCGACUGGCCAAGCGGACCGCGGCUUCGGUGU